CUACGGGGCGCUGCAGGCGAGAAAACUUUGCAAUGUGCGAAAGCACGACAAGGUUAAUCCGAGUGGUUUGUGCUAAACGAACCUUUUGACAGUCCUAGAAACACUGUUGAAUAAGGGGUGGGCAAGUUCUGGUGUCAGACGCCGCGGUAAAACCAGCACCUCAAGUGGUCAGGAUGAUUAUUGGGCCUAAAGCAUCCGUAGCCGGCUCUGUAAGUUUUCGGUUAAAUCUGUACGCUCAACGUACAGGCUGCCGGGAAUACUGCAGAGCUAGGGAGUGGGAGAGGUAGACGGUACUCGGUAGGGAGGGGUAAAAUCCUUUGAUCUAUUGAUGACCACCUGUGGCGAAGGCGGUCUACCAGAACACGUCCGACGGUGAGGGAUGAAAGCUGGGGGAGCAAACCGGAUUAGAUACCCUUGUAGUC
Molecule: ribosomal RNA, 422 nt
Filed under: uncultured archaeon
Lineage: Archaea
Description: partial 16S ribosomal RNA
Rfam family: Archaeal small subunit ribosomal RNA
Source: RNAcentral